AAAGCGUGCGCAGGCGGUUAUGUAAGACAGUUGUGAAAUCCCCGGGCUCAACCUGGGAACUGCAUCUGUGACUGCAUAGCUAGAGUACGGUAGAGGGGGAUGGAAUUCCGCGUGUAGCAGUGAAAUGCGUAGAUAUGCGGAGGAACACCGAUGGCGAAGGCAAUCCCCUGGACCUGUACUGACGCUCAUGCACGAAAGCGUGGGGAGCAAACAGGAUUAGAUACCCCAGU
RNAcentral lists this ribosomal RNA (230 nucleotides) under uncultured bacterium. Its description in RNAcentral is "partial 16S ribosomal RNA". It matches the Rfam family "Bacterial small subunit ribosomal RNA", at positions 562 to 791 of the family's 1533-position model. The record is from RNAcentral.